CCCUUAGAUGUUCUGGGCGGCCCGCGCACUACAAUGGCGUGUGCAGCGAGUGCCGAAGUAGAGUUUUCCGAGGUAUUCUUGCAAUGCUCGUUUUGAUGGGGAUAGACCCUUGCAACUGUUGGUUUUGAGCGAGGAAUUCCUUGUAAGCAUGGUUUAUCAUCCGACGCUGAAUGCGUCCCUGCCCUUUGUACACACCGCCCGUCGCUCCUACCGAUGAGUCGUCCGGUGAAGUUCGUAGACCUCGUGAUCGCGGAUCACUGGGGGAAGCAAAAUGAACCUCGCGGUUUAGAGGAAGGAGAAGUCGUAACA
Molecule: ribosomal RNA, 309 nt
Filed under: uncultured eukaryote
Lineage: Eukaryota
Description: partial 18S ribosomal RNA
Rfam family: Eukaryotic small subunit ribosomal RNA
Source: RNAcentral